AAGCUGCGUACCUAUGAAGCAGCGUGCGCACGCCUGUCUGUCACUGUUUGACAAAUACCGUUACGCACUCACACACACGUGUGGUCGCAAUUUCUGAUUGUACACAAUCGAAAGUUGAUCUCCCUGCGCAGCAGGGUAACAUGAGCGUGUCGUGUAGUUGGCCUUUUCAUUUUUGUCAGCCAGGGGAAGCAGCAGUGAGCCAUACUUUGCCUGGCGGAAAAGACGAAGAAGAAGACGAAGAAGAGUCCCGCUGAGCUUCCGACAGCUUCCGAGGCCAGCGCCCGAAAUGGCAUACUAACGUACUACUCAUACUAAGUGUAACGUCAAAAUAAGUAUGUAGUGCAUUCACAUUAGAUAGUAUGAAAAGACUGAGUACGCGAGAAAUACCCGGAUGUUCACUAUAUCGGUAAGUAUGUGCGGUGACCACACUAGUCAUACUCAACCACCCCAUAAUGCUUUGCGAGCUACCCACCGAAAUGUAAGCCUCCAUGGGAUCUGUGGCCGGGCCGGCGCGAUAUAAAUGGACAGAUGAGGACACAGAUCGCCUCAUUAAGUGGUGCGCUGAAAACGAGGACAUGUUUACAGGGCGUCGUAACGCAGCCCAAAAAGGUUUCCAAAUGUUCAUCAAGGACCACAACCUUGAGGGAAAGGUGGAGGCAGGGUGGGAAAAAAAUGGGAAAACUUAAAACAAAAAUACAAGUUCAUAGGCGGGGUGUUGUGGGGCAGACACUGCAGCAGCAAGGCAGUUUCUGAGACCAUCACCAGAUUGCUGGACUGGCACAGGAACCUCAAAGUCCACUCCAUCGUUGUCCAGGGUUGGUCUGGACAACCUGAAGUCCUUCCUGAGGUCACCUCCCUCAAAGUAAAGAGACAGCAGGGGAACAUGGGGGUUUACUCUGCUGUAUGGACCUCUCACACCAACCUGUAAUAUAGAAAACACGCCAUCAAAAAUUAGUUGUUUUUAAUUAUUUAUUGAACUAUUUGUGUAUUUGUGUAUUUUUAAAAAUUAUUUAUUGGUAUUUGUGUAUUUUUAAAAACUAUUUAUUGGUAUUUGUGUAUGUUUUUAACUACUUGUUUUGAAUGAUAAUAUUUAAAGUAUUUAUUACAUAUAUAUGAAAUUAUUCUUAAAUUAUUAAACUUUGCUAUAAAAUUAAAAAGUGGUUAUGUGGCAUA
Acanthochromis polyacanthus (spiny chromis) is the source of this 1173-nucleotide long non-coding RNA. RefSeq lists it as uncharacterized. NCBI's taxonomy places the organism in Eukaryota, Metazoa, Chordata, Actinopteri, Pomacentridae. The record is from RefSeq and is a predicted model, not a curated record. The transcript is spliced from 4 exons.